UUAAGUUAAUAAGGGCGCACGGUGGAUGCCUUGGCACUAGAAGCCGAUGAAGGACGUGACUAACGACGAAAUGCUUUGGGGAGCUGUAAGUGAGCAAUGAUCCAGAGAUGUCCGAAUGGGGGAACCCGGCAGGUAAUGCCUGUCACUCAUUACUGUUAAGGUAAUGUAGAGGAAGACGCAGUGAACUGAAACAUCUAAGUAGCUGUAGGAAGAGAAAGCAAAAGCGAUUGCCUUAGUAGCGGCGAGCGAAACGGCAAGAGGGCAAACCGAAGAGUUUACUCUUCGGGGUUGUAGGACUGCAACGUGGACUUAAAGAUUAUAGAAGAACUACCUGGGAAGGUAGGCCAAAGAGAGUAAUAGCCUCGUAUUCGAAAUAGUCUUUAUACCUAGCAGUAUCCUGAGUACGGCGAGACACGAGAAAUCUCGUCGGAAUCUGGGAGGACCAUCUCCCAACCCUAAAUACUCUCUAGUGACCGAUAGUGAACCAGUACCGUGAGGGAAAGGUGAAAAGCACCCCGGGAGGGGAGUGAAAUAGAACCUGAAACCGUGUGCCUACAACAAGUUCGAGCCCGUUAAUGGGUGAGAGCGUGCCUUUUGUAGAAUGAACCGGCGAGUUACGAUAUGAUGCGAGGUUAAGUUGAAGAGACGGAGCCGUAGGGAAACCGAGUCUUAAUAGGGCGCAUUAGUAUCAUGUCGUAGACCCGAAACCAUGUGACCUACCCAUGAGCAGGUUGAAGGUGAGGUAAAACUCACUGGAGGACCGAACCAGGGCACGUUGAAAAGUGCUUGGAUGACUUGUGGGUAGCGGAGAAAUUCCAAACGAACUUGGAGAUAGCUGGUUCUCUCCGAAAUAGCUUUAGGGCUAGCGUCGAUGUUAAGUCUCUUGGAGGUAGAGCACUGUUUGGGUGAGGGGUCCAUCCCGGAUUACCAAUCUCAGAUAAACUCCGAAUGCCAAUGAGAUAUAAUCGGCAGUCAGACUGCGAGUGCUAAGAUCCGUAGUCGAAAGGGAAACAGCCCAGACCACCAGCUAAGGUCCCAAAAUAUAUGUUAAGUGGAAAAGGAUGUGGGGUUGCACAGACAACUAGGAUGUUAGCUUAGAAGCAGCUAUUCAUUCAAAGAGUGCGUAAUAGCUCACUAGUCGAGUGACCCUGCGCCGAAAAUGUACCGGGGCUAAAACAUAUUACCGAAGCUGUGGAUACCUUUAUAGGUAUGGUAGGAGAGCGUUCUAUGUGCGAAGAAGGUGUACCGUGAGGAGUGCUGGAGCGCAUAGAAGUGAGAAUGCCGGUAUGAGUAGCGAAAGACAGGUGAGAAUCCUGUCCACCGUAAGACUAAGGUUUCCAGGGGAAGGCUCGUCCGCCCUGGGUUAGUCGGGACCUAAGGAGAGACCGAAAGGUGUAUCCGAUGGACAACAGGUUGAUAUUCCUGUACUAGAGUAUAUAGUGAUGGAGGGACGCAGUAGGCUAACUAAACCAGACGAUUGGAAGUGUCUGGCCAAGCAGUGAGGUGUGAUAUGAGUCAAAUGCUUAUAUCUUUAACAUUGAGCUGUGAUGGGGAGCGAAGUUUAGUAGCGAAGUUAGUGAUGUCACACUGCCGAGAAAAGCUUCUAGCGUUAAUUAUACUCUACCCGUACCGCAAACCGACACAGGUAGUCGAGGCGAGUAGCCUCAGGUGAGCGAGAGAACUCUCGUUAAGGAACUCGGCAAAAUGGCCCCGUAACUUCGGGAGAAGGGGCGCUGACUGAUGGUCAGCCGCAGUGAAUAGGCCCAAGCAACUGUUUAUCAAAAACACAGCUCUCUGCUAAAUCGUAAGAUGAUGUAUAGGGGGUGACGCCUGCCCGGUGCUGGAAGGUUAAGAGGAGUGCUUAGCGUAAGCGAAGGCAUGAAUUGAAGCCCCAGUAAACGGCGGCCGUAACUAUAACGGUCCUAAGGUAGCGAAAUUCCUUGUCGGGUAAGUUCCGACCCGCACGAAAGGCGUAAUGAUUUGGGCACUGUCUCAACGAGAGACUCGGUGAAAUUUUAGUACCUGUGAAGAUGCAGGUUACCCGCGACAGGACGGAAAGACCCCAUGGAGCUUUACUGCAGUUUGAUAUUGAGUAUCUGUACCACAUGUACAGGAUAGGUAGGAGCCUAUGACCUCGGGACGCCAGUUUCGAGUGAGGCGUUGUUGGGAUACUACCCUUGUGUUAUGGCUACUCUAACCCAGAUAGGUUAUCCCUAUCGGAGACAGUGUCUGACGGGCAGUUUGACUGGGGCGGUCGCCUCCUAAAAGGUAACGGAGGCGCCCAAAGGUUCCCUCAGAAUGGUUGGAAAUCAUUCGCAGAGUGUAAAGGUAUAAGGGAGCUUGACUGCGAGAGUUACAACUCGAGCAGGGACGAAAGUCGGGCUUAGUGAUCCGGUGGUUCCGUAUGGAAGGGCCAUCGCUCAACGGAUAAAAGCUACCCUGGGGA
RNAcentral lists this ribosomal RNA (2446 nucleotides) under human gut metagenome. RNAcentral's name for it is "bacterial LSU rRNA". It matches the Rfam family "Bacterial large subunit ribosomal RNA", at positions 3 to 2474 of the family's 2925-position model. The record is from RNAcentral.